UGUGUGAAGAAGAAGGGGAGAGAGGGUGGUGUGUGGCGAGGACUGGGUUAGUUUCCCGGAUGGAGUUCCGUCGCCAUUUUUAGUCCAGUGCUACCGGUAGAGUCGGGACGCUGAGCCACUGUUGCUCCGCUAGGAAUCGCCGACUGAGACAGACGCACCUAACGUCGAGCCUCUGUUCCUCCGCCCGGAAAAACGCCAGCCCCGGCACCGAACACCAUGUCAGAAGAUCGAGACAUCUUAGUAUAUCAGGCCAAACUUGCCGAGCAAGCUGAGAGAUAUGACGAAAUGGUGGAGUCCAUGAAGAAGGUGGCAGGCAUGGACGUGGAGCUCACGGUGGAGGAGAGAAACCUGCUGUCCGUGGCCUACAAGAACGUGAUCGGCGCCAGGAGAGCGUCCUGGAGGAUAAUCAGCAGUAUUGAACAGAAGGAGGAGAGCAAGGGCGGGGAGGAGAAAUUACGGAUGAUCCGGGAAUAUAGGCAAACGGUUGAGACUGAACUGAAAAAGAUCUGUGGUGACAUUCUGGAUGUACUGGACAAGCAUCUCAUUCCAUCUGCAACCUCGGGAGAAUCCAAGGUUUUCUACUACAAAAUGAAAGGUGAUUAUCACAGGUAUCUGGCAGAGUUCGCCACAGGGAACGACAGGAAGGAGGCGGCAGAGAACAGCUUGGUAGCCUACAAAGCUGCGAGCGACAUCGCCAUGAUCGAACUCCCACCCACACAUCCCAUCCGCUUAGGUCUUGCACUGAACUUCUCCGUAUUUUAUUAUGAAAUCCUCAAUUCCCCUGACCGUGCGUGCAGGUUGGCGAAGGCAGCAUUUGACGAUGCCAUUGCAGAACUGGACACGUUGAGUGAAGAAAGCUACAAGGACUCCACGCUCAUCAUGCAGUUGUUACGCGACAACCUGACACUAUGGACUUCAGACAUGCAGGGAGAUGAUUCCUAAGGACAAACAUCAUUCCCUGUUAAAAACUCAAAAAAUCUAAAGCGUACGUUGUGAAGAACAGAAUAAAGAAGCACUGCAAGAUGCAGAGGAUGAAAACCAGUGAGACGUCAUGGCCAAUACAAGACCCCGACCCCAGACUCCUCCAUCCCCACCCCCCGUGUCACAGAGAGCCCCCCACCCCGGCUUUUACCCAGGCUCUCGUUAGAUCUACGCCCCACCUGGCCUCUUAGGGGCUCCAUUCUUUUUUUUUUGUUUUUGUUUUUUUAUUAUUUUUUUUGUUUAGUUUUUUGUUUUUGGUUUUUUUUUUUUUUUUUUUCUCAUUUGUUUCUUUUUUUUAUUACCCCAUUUUCUUCAGAUACGUAAACUAAACUUAAUAACCGGUUUUGGAAAGGCAAACGAUUAGAGUCCCUGGAUUUGUUCUCUCUCUCUCUCCCCCGGUACAGGCUGUCUUGGUAAUUGAUAGACUCGGAUCCCUUUGUUCAUUUCUUUCUAUUUGCUUUUUUCCACAGCAUUUUAUCAGUUUGCUGGAUGUAUUUUGAGUAUUGUUCAUGUAAUUACAGAAAUUAAUUUUUAUUACCGAAACAUCUGCUAUAAUUAGAUGUGGGAACUGUAAUAUUUCUGUGUUAGUGCAAACAUCGGUUGAAAAUUAGAGAAUACAAUUUUUACAAAGGGCAUUCGUGUUUUAAGAGAAAAGAACAAAGUGCCCUUUCUUUCAUUGUUUCUUUCUGUUACAGUUUCAGAGGAAGUUGGCAGAAUUCUGAAUAUCCAAGUGGAGCAAAAAUGCCUAAACUUUUACAGUUUUAGUGGUUAUGUCCUGUAGUGAUUUGGACUGUACAUUGUGCUGAAAUACUGUAUUGCGCACACUCUUGCUGAUUUCAGGAAAUGGCUGGUAGCAGUUUAAAAAAAAUAAAAAUCUGAAGGAGCCUUGUUGCUUUGUUCCCCAUUCAGAAAAAUAGCAGGUUUGUAUCCGCAUUUGGAAAAGAUAAAAUUAAAUAAUCAAGUCAAUUUAAAACCUGCAUCUGUUCAAACUUAAGCAUACUUUAUUUUUUCUCUCUCUACCCCUCUUUCUCUUCUCUUUUCUGUCUCGUUCUUUCCUCUGUUCUUUUUUUCAUUCAGUAUAUGUAACUUGAAGCUAAUUUGUACUACUGGAUAUCUGACUGGAGCCACAGAUAAACAAUCUGUAUUCUUACUGAAACACAGCAUGGAAUUAACAUUAAACUUAAAAUAAAAACAACCUGAAUUAAAAAAA
Molecule: RNA transcript, 2191 nt
Organism: Conger conger (European conger)
Lineage: Eukaryota; Metazoa; Chordata; Actinopteri; Anguilliformes; Congridae
Gene: ywhae1
Gene name: tyrosine 3-monooxygenase/tryptophan 5-monooxygenase activation protein, epsilon polypeptide 1
Exons: 7
Source: RefSeq, a predicted model, not a curated record